AGCGAACGCUGGCGGCAGGCCUAACACAUGCAAGUCGAACGAACUCUUCGGAGUUAGUGGCGGACGGGUGAGUAACACGUGGGAACGUGUCUUUUGGUUCGGAAUAACUCAGGGAAACUUGUGCUAAUACCGAAUGUGCCCUUCGGGGGAAAGAUUUAUCGCCAUUAGAGCGGCCCGCGUCUGAUUAGCUAGUUGGUGAGGUAACGGCUCACCAAGGCGACGAUCAGUAGCUGGUCCGAGAGGAUGACCAGCCACACUGGGACUGAGACACGGCCCAGACUCCUACGGGAGGCAGCAGUGGGGAAUCUUGCGCAAUGGGCGAAAGCCUGACGCAGCCAUGCCGCGUGAAUGAUGAAGGUCUUAGGAUUGUAAAAUUCUUUCACCGGGGACGAUAAUGACGGUACCCGGAGAAGAAGCCCCGGCUAACUUCGUG
Molecule: ribosomal RNA, 433 nt
Filed under: uncultured bacterium
Lineage: Bacteria
Description: partial 16S ribosomal RNA
Rfam family: Bacterial small subunit ribosomal RNA
Source: RNAcentral